AUGAAUCUCUUGGCCUGGAACUAUCGAGGACUGGGGUUGGACUCGACAGUUGGCGAACUCCGUGACCUGAUUCGGUCACACAACCCAGCGGUGGUGUUCUUGAGCGAAACGAAGAAGAAGGCUCGGGCUAUGGAGAAACUAAAAUGGAGUCUUGGCUUUAGAAAGGGAGUGGCUGUGGAUUGCAAGGGGAUGAGUGGGGGCACAGCCCUAUGG
RNAcentral lists this ribosomal RNA (213 nucleotides) under Triticum aestivum (bread wheat). RNAcentral's name for it is "partial small subunit ribosomal RNA". Lineage: Eukaryota; Viridiplantae; Streptophyta; Magnoliopsida; Poales; Poaceae. The record is from RNAcentral.